AGUGAACGCUGGCGGUAGGCCUAACACAUGCAAGUCGAACGGCAGCACAGUAAGAGCUUGCUCUUACGGGUGGCGAGUGGCGGACGGGUGAGGAAUACAUCGGAAUCUACUUUUUCGUGGGGGAUAAUGUAGGGAAACUUACGCUAAUACCGCAUACGACCUACGGGUGAAAGCAGGGGAUCUUCGGACCUUGCGCGAUUGAAUGAGCCGAUGUCGGAUUAGCUAGUUGGCGGGGUAAAGGCCCACCAAGGCGACGAUCCGUAGCUGGUCUGAGAGGAUGAUCAGCCACACUGGAACUGAGACACGGUCCAGACUCCUACGGGAGGCGGCAGUGGGGAAUAUUGGACAAUGGGCGCAAGCCUGAUCCAGCCAUACCGCGUGGGUGAAGAAGGCCUUCGGGUUGUAAAGACCUUUUGUUGGGAAAGAAAAGCAGCAGGUUAAUACCCCGCUGUUCUGACGGUACCCAAAGAAUAAGCACCGGCUAACUUCGUG
This 492-nucleotide ribosomal RNA is filed under the name uncultured bacterium. RNAcentral describes it as "partial 16S ribosomal RNA". It matches the Rfam family "Bacterial small subunit ribosomal RNA", at positions 29 to 507 of the family's 1533-position model. The record is from RNAcentral.